GGGCCCGCACAAGCGGUGGAGUAUGUGGUUUAAUUCGAUGCAACGCGAAGAACCUUACCAGGGUUUGACAUCCUGCGAAUCUCUUGGAAACGAGAGAGUGCCUUCGGGAACGCAGUGACAGGUGGUGCAUGGCUGUCGUCAGCUCGUGUCGUGAGAUGUUGGGUUAAGUCCCGCAACGAGCGCAACCCACGUCUUUAGUUGCCAGCAUUCAGUUGGGCACUCUAGAGAGACCGCCGGUGAUAAACCGGAGGAAGGUGUGGAUGACGUCAAGUCAUCAUGCCCCUUACAUCCUGGGCUACACACGUACUACAAUGCUACGGACAAAGGGCAGCAAACUCGCGAGAGCUAGCAAAUCCCAUAAACCGUGGCUCAGUUCAGAUCGUAGGCUGCAACUCGCCUACGUGAAGGCGGAAUCGCUAGUAAUCGCAGGUC
This 432-nucleotide ribosomal RNA is filed under the name uncultured bacterium. RNAcentral describes it as "bacterial SSU rRNA". It matches the Rfam family "Bacterial small subunit ribosomal RNA", at positions 917 to 1350 of the family's 1533-position model. The record is from RNAcentral.